RNAcentral lists this ribosomal RNA (565 nucleotides) under uncultured Methanosarcina sp. Its description in RNAcentral is "bacterial SSU rRNA". It matches the Rfam family "Archaeal small subunit ribosomal RNA", at positions 339 to 903 of the family's 1478-position model. The record is from RNAcentral. Lineage: Archaea; Methanobacteriati; Methanobacteriota; Methanomicrobia; Methanosarcinales; Methanosarcinaceae.
GCGCGAAAAACUUUACAAUGCGGGAAACCGUGAUAAGGGGACACCGAGUGCCAGCAUCAUAUGCUGGCUGUCCAGAUGUGUAAAAUACAUCUGUUAGCAAGGGCCGGGCAAGACCGGUGCCAGCCGCCGCGGUAACACCGGCGGCCCGAGUGGUGAUCGUGAUUAUUGGGUCUAAAGGGUCCGUAGCCGGUUUGGUCAGUCCUCCGGGAAAUCUGAUAGCUCAACUAUUAGGCUUUCGGGGGAUACUGCCAGACUUGGAACCGGGAGAGGUAAGAGGUACUACAGGGGUAGGAGUGAAAUCUUGUAAUCCCUGUGGGACCACCUGUGGCGAAGGCGUCUUACCAGAACGGGUUCGACGGUGAGGGACGAAAGCUGGGGGCACGAACCGGAUUAGAUACCCGGGUAGUCCCAGCCGUAAACGAUGCUCGCUAGGUGUCAGACAUGGCGCGACCGUGUCUGGUGCCGCAGGGAAGCCGUGAAGCGAGCCACCUGGGAAGUACGGCCGCAAGGCUGAAACUUAAAGGAAUUGGCGGGGGAGCACAACAACGGGUGGGGCCUGCGGUUU